GUCUACUACAUCCUCAGUGCUGCUCUUUUUGUGCUAGAAAUGCCAGAGACCAAGGUAUCUCUUCAGGAAUCUUUGGGAUAAUUCCACACAACUCUCAGUAUGUGAGAGCCAUAACUAUUGGGAAUGCAUUGGUUACUGUAAUCCCAUGCUCUAAAACUGAAUUUAAGAUCGAUUCCAUUCUUGAUGUGUUUUGAUUAUGUGUGUGUUUCAGGCGCAGCUAGAAAACGCCAAUGACUGUUGUGAAAGAAUAAAGAGAAUGAAUGAAACCUGUGUGAAUAUUACACACUGUGAUCCUGGUCUCCUUCAAGUUCAGGAGAACAGUACAACAUUUUGUGUGUCCUGCGAUUUAACAGAGCAGGGGAAUUCAACUUUACUUAACAAUAGUAAGUGCUGUGACAUGGUCAUAAAUGAACAUCUGUACAGUCUAGAACAGU
Molecule: long non-coding RNA, 434 nt
Filed under: Sinocyclocheilus grahami
Lineage: Eukaryota; Metazoa; Chordata; Actinopteri; Cypriniformes; Cyprinidae
Description: lncRNA (ENSSGRG00000032341.1)
Source: RNAcentral